UAGCUGAAGGCAGAUGCCCAGUGGACUGAACCUCAGAGACAUGAUAAAUAGUCUGGCUACCCUGGGGAAGAGACCCCAAGACUCCAUGGAGUUGUAGAGAGAGGCCCGGUCGCCCAGCGAGCCAGGUGAGCCCAGCUUUCCAGGGGUCCCCCCAAAGACAGCCGGCACACGCGUGAGUUACGUGGAAGUUCCUCCAGCCCAGAGGAACGCCAGAUGACAUGCCAUGGAGCUGGAAAUUCACCUCGUGGAGUCCAGGCAACCCUCAGAUUCAAGAGAGAUU
This is a long non-coding RNA of Lutra lutra (Eurasian river otter), 280 nucleotides long. RefSeq lists it as uncharacterized. NCBI's taxonomy places the organism in Eukaryota, Metazoa, Chordata, Mammalia, Carnivora, Mustelidae. The record is from RefSeq and is a predicted model, not a curated record. The transcript is spliced from 2 exons.